RNAcentral lists this long non-coding RNA (2019 nucleotides) under Homo sapiens (human). RNAcentral describes it as "HSALNT0314090". The record is from RNAcentral. Lineage: Eukaryota; Metazoa; Chordata; Mammalia; Primates; Hominidae.
AUUUUAAAAAUGGCAGUUUCCCCUGCGCUUUUUCUCUCUCCUGUGCCUUGUGAAGAAAGUGCCUGCUUCGCCUUCACCUUCGGCCAUGAUUGUAAGUUUCCUGAGGCCUUCUCCGCCUGCAGAGCUGGCACAGAUGUCGGAGCCAGACUGCCUGGACUCAAAUCUCAGAACCUGCAUUUAUUAGCUGUGUGACUUUGGAUAAUCCUCUCUCCACAACUUGAUAAUGCACAAACUGCAAAUCUUCUGGUACUCACUGCUGCAAGCAAACUUGAAGUCUUUCUGAGCCUGACUCUUCAUUCCUGCCUUGUGUGACCCAGGGAUGGAGGACUGCCCUCCCAACUCAUUAUCCUCUUUGCCCAGGAGCUGUACAUACAAAGGUGGUGAUUCCAAAGAAUUAGAGCAAACAAGCUGGAGCUGGAAUCUGUCCUGUUAUAAAAAAUCUGUUCCGCCCAAUCACGAGAAUGUAUGGGUCAAGGUUACAGCCAAUGCCUGCAAAUCACCACCGUGUGUUUCAUUGAAGAAAGUGCCCUGCUCAACCUCAAAUUCUUAUCUUUCAAAUGAUGAAGAAAAUGUCACCUUAUGGACAUCAUCAAAAUCUUCUUUCUGUAAUUGAAAUGGAAUUAAAAGUGAUUUCCUUGGUUUACAGCAAUAGCUAUAAAAUAAACCAAGCUGUCUCUUUGUUUAUUCUUCAGAAAAGUGAAACACUUGAGUUACAAGGAAUAAUCAGAGACUAAUGCCAAGACAUCCCUGAGAGUCCUCCAGAAUGAUGGAGAACCACAUUCCAUCUCUCUAAAUUGGGAGCAUAUUGUAGCUUUGCAGCAUAGCAAUAGGAGGUAUCUUUCUGGGUCAUGGCUUGAUGUUGCAGAAGUGGCAGUGGAGCCUCCAAAAUCCCUGCCUUCCUCAUCCCUUCCAGCUCCACAGGGCUCUGGAGAGGCAGACAAGGUUCUGCAAUGCUCACCUCAAAAACAGUGCUGUAGGAAGCACUUGGCGGGGUACUGCAGUCAUAAACACUCCGGGAUUCCAAGAUCCUGACAGAUGCCUAUGUCACCAAAACUCAAAUUUUAUACUUGGCUUCAUGUGAUACUCUUUUUUAUGAUGCAUAUAUGAUAUGGAACAACUGCUGCUAUGGAAUCACCCAGAAUAAAAGUGACCCUCUUGGAAAUGCCUCCAUGUAUGUGUGAGUGAGUGAGUGACAAGCUGUGACUUGUACUGUCUACUCUGUGUAGCACCUGGGAAAUGUGUCCACCUUGCUCCUUGUCACAGUCUGACUGUGGCUACACUACGCGUCGGUGAUCACUGUCCAUCGGGCAGAAACUCUCUCCUGAUUCUUGCAUGAAAAAAACACUAGUUCAUUCAUCACUCAUCAAUCAUUUUCUUCUGUGACUCAUCAUCUGGAAGUUUCAUUCCUCAGUCCCCCUUUCUGAGGCUGGUAAAUAGCAUGUCAUUCCAGCAAAAGGCGGAGGGGGCGGCAGCCCAUCUGGACCUUCAAGUUUGAUUUCAUAUUUAUGAAACAGCUUAAAUGUCAGUUUGAGUGCAAAACGACACCUUCUCCAGCUUCUCACAUUAGUGCCUCUGGCUGCUUGGCUGCUGCUGAACGUUUCUUUCUUUCUUUUUUUUUUUAAAGGCAACUCGUGACUUCCCUGCUUGGCUCCUUUAAGGCAGGAAUGGAAAGAAGAGGCAUGAAUGGAUGGAUGGAUGGAUGGAUGGAUGGAUGGAUGGACGGAUGGACGGUCAGAUGGAUGGAUGCAAAGAUAGAUGGAUGAGACCACAAUUAAAUACUCUCACCAGAGAGGAGAAAGAAAGAAAUUGGAGAAAAUGAAACAAAAAUCAAAUAGAAGAAAUAUUUUGGUUUUAUAGGGAGUUUUGAUCAAUUGAGAGGAUCUUGAGACAUUCUUGUGUUAUUUGCCCUCUAUGUUUUAGGUUGAAAAAGUAAACAUAAAAAUUUGGAAAAUAAAGAUUUCAAGAGAUAAGUCAUCUGUGAUUUCACCACUCUAACAGUUGGUAUGACCAUUUAGAUAC